AAGUUAGAAGCGAAAUAUUGCAUUUAGUUUCGACCUAAAUUUAUGGUUACUUAACCCUAACUUA
Molecule: transfer RNA, 64 nt
Filed under: Lepidurus apus apus
Lineage: Eukaryota; Metazoa; Arthropoda; Branchiopoda; Notostraca; Triopsidae
Description: tRNA-Arg
Source: RNAcentral